GCUCUGAUGGCGCAGUGGUUAAGCGCUUGGCUGUUAACCGAAAGGUCGGUGGUUCUAAUCCACCAGCU
This 68-nucleotide transfer RNA is filed under the name Loxodonta africana (African savanna elephant). It matches the Rfam family "tRNA". From Rfam's summary of the family: Transfer RNA (tRNA) molecules are approximately 80 nucleotides in length. Their secondary structure includes four short double-helical elements and three loops (D, anti-codon, and T loops). Lineage: Eukaryota; Metazoa; Chordata; Mammalia; Proboscidea; Elephantidae. The record is from Rfam by way of RNAcentral.